RNAcentral lists this ribosomal RNA (634 nucleotides) under Bacillus sp. (in: firmicutes). RNAcentral's name for it is "bacterial SSU rRNA". It matches the Rfam family "Bacterial small subunit ribosomal RNA", at positions 51 to 662 of the family's 1533-position model. Lineage: Bacteria; Bacillati; Bacillota; Bacilli; Caryophanales; Bacillaceae. The record is from RNAcentral.
AUACAUGCAAGUCGAGCGAAUGGAUUGAGAGCUUGCUCCUUAUGAAGUUUAGCGGCGGACGGGUGAGUAACACGUGGGUAACCUGCCCAUAAGACUGGGAUAACUCCGGGAAACCGGGGCUAAUACCGGAUAACAUUUUGAACUGCAUGGUUCGAAAUUGAAAGGCGGCUUCGGCUGUCACUUAUGGAUGGACCCGCGUCGCAUUAGCUAGUUGGUGAGGUAACGGCUCACCAAGGCAACGAUGCGUAGCCGACCUGAGAGGGUGAUCGGCCACACUGGGACUGAGACACGGCCCAGACUCCUACGGGAGGCAGCAGUAGGGAAUCUUCCGCAAUGGACGAAAGUCUGACGGAGCAACGCCGCGUGAGUGAUGAAGGCUUUCGGGUCGUAAAACUCUGUUGUUAGGGAAGAACAAGUGCUAGUUGAAUAAGCUGGCACCUUGACGGUACCUAACCAGAAAGCCACGGCUAACUACGUGCCAGCAGCCGCGGUAAUGCGUAGGUGGGCAAGCGUUAUCCGGAAUUAUUGGGCGUAAAGCGCGCGCAGGUGGUUUCUUAAGUCUGAUGUGAAAGCCCACGGCUCAACCGUGGAGGGUCAUUGGAAACUGGGAGACUUGAGUGCAGAAGAGGAAAGU